RNAcentral lists this ribosomal RNA (492 nucleotides) under uncultured bacterium. Its description in RNAcentral is "partial 16S ribosomal RNA". It matches the Rfam family "Bacterial small subunit ribosomal RNA", at positions 29 to 507 of the family's 1533-position model. The record is from RNAcentral.
AGUGAACGCUGGCGGUAGGCCUAACACAUGCAAGUCGAACGGCAGCACAGUAAGAGCUUGCUCUUACGGGUGGCGAGUGGCGGACGGGUGAGGAAUACAUCGGAAUCUACUUUUUCGUGGGGGAUAACGUAGGGAAACUUACGCUAAUACCGCAUACGACCUACGGGGGAAAGCAGGGGAUCUUCGGACCUUGCGCGAUUGAAUGAGCCGAUGUCAGAUUAGCUAGUUGGCGGGGUAAAGGCCCACCAAGGCGACGAUCCGUAGCUGGUCUGAGAGGAUGAUCAGCCACACUGGAACUGAGACACGGUCCAGACUCCUACGGGAGGCAGCAGUGGGGAAUAUUGGACAAUGGGCGCAAGCCUGAUCCAGCCAUACCGCGUGUGUGAAGAAGGCCUUCGGGUUGUAAAGCCCUUUUGUUGGGAAAGAAAAGCAGCAGGUUAAUACCCCGCUGUUCUGACGGUACCCAAAGAAUAAGCACCGGCUAACUUCGUG